RNAcentral lists this ribosomal RNA (253 nucleotides) under uncultured bacterium. RNAcentral's name for it is "partial 16S ribosomal RNA". It matches the Rfam family "Bacterial small subunit ribosomal RNA", at positions 524 to 776 of the family's 1533-position model. The record is from RNAcentral.
GACGUAGGGCGCGAGCGUUGUCCGGAUUUAUUGGGCGUAAAGAGCUCGUAGGCGGCUUGUCGCGUCGAAUGUGAAAACCUGCAGCUCAACUGCAGGCUUGCAUUCGAUACGGGCAGGCUCGAGUUCGGUAGGGGAGACUGGAAUUCCCGGUGUAGCGGUGAAAUGCGCAGAUAUCGGGAAGAACACCCGUGGCGAAGGCGGCUCUCUGGGCCGUUACUGACGCUGAGGAGCGAAAGCGUGGGGAGCGAACAGG